RNAcentral lists this ribosomal RNA (277 nucleotides) under uncultured bacterium. RNAcentral describes it as "partial 16S ribosomal RNA". It matches the Rfam family "Bacterial small subunit ribosomal RNA", at positions 82 to 354 of the family's 1533-position model. The record is from RNAcentral.
CGCCUGCCGGCGACCGGCGCACGGGUGAGUAACACGUAUGCGACCUGCCCCCGCCAGGGGGAGUAACCGGGAGAAAUCCCGACUAAUACCGCGUAACGCCGCGGACCUGCAUGGGUCUGCGGCCAAAGGAAGCGAUUCCGGCGGGGGAUGGGCAUGCGGCGCAUUAGCUAGUCGGCGGGGUAACGGCCCACCGAGGCGACGAUGCGUAGGGGUUCUGAGAGGAAGGUCCCCCACAUUGGAACUGAGACACGGUCCAAACUCCUACGGAAGGCAGCAG